Molecule: unclassified non-coding RNA, 309 nt
Filed under: plant metagenome
Description: partial contains small subunit ribosomal RNA, internal transcribed spacer 1, and 5.8S ribosomal RNA
Rfam family: Eukaryotic small subunit ribosomal RNA (bases 1-54)
Source: RNAcentral
GGAAGUAAAAGUUGUAACAAGGUUUCCGUAGGUGAACCUGCGGAAGGAUCAUUAUCGUACAAAAUGUGAGGGGCAUGCGAGGGCUGUCGCUGACCCAAAAGUCGUGCACGCCCGAGUGCGUCCUCUUGCAUAAUAAUCCAUCUCACCCGUUGUGCAUCACCGCGUGGGCACCCUUCGGGAUCAUCUCGGAGGGGGGCUCGCGUUUUCACACAAACCCCCCUUUUAAAAGUGUAGAAUGACCACAUUUAUGCAAUCAAUACAACUUUCAACAACGGAUCUCUUGGCUCUCGCAUCGAUGAAGAACGAAGC